UACGGAGGGUGCUAGCGUUAUUCGGAAUGACUGGGCGUAAAGGGCGCGUAGGCGGCUUGUUAAGUCUGGUGUGAAAUCCCCGAACUUAAUUCGGGAAGUGCACUGGAUACUGAUAGGCUAGAGUGUAGGAGGGGAGAACGGAAUUCCUGGUGUAGAGGUGAAAUUCGUAGAUAUCAGGAGGAACAACAGAGGCGAAGGCGGUUCUCUGGACUACAACUGACGCUGAGGCGCGAAAGCGUGGGGAGCAAACAGG
Molecule: ribosomal RNA, 253 nt
Filed under: uncultured bacterium
Lineage: Bacteria
Description: partial 16S ribosomal RNA
Rfam family: Bacterial small subunit ribosomal RNA
Source: RNAcentral